GUGUUUUAUUAACCUAUAGCUAUACAAUAUAAAAAUAUUAUAGUAAAUGGCUUACUUUAAAUAUUGUUGUUGUUACAGUAUGGAACAGUAAAAGACAUAGUUAUAUUUACUGAAUUGAAUGAGUUUAAUAUCAUGAAAAGUAGUACUUACAGAUUCACAACUGAAUAUAUAAUAUAUUUUAUUAAUUCAUACAUUAUUUAACAAUGGCAUGUCAUUCUAGUACAAUACCGUAUUGAACAAUGAAGUGAUUAAAU
This 254-nucleotide long non-coding RNA is filed under the name Lathyrus oleraceus (garden pea). Its description in RNAcentral is "Pisum sativum (pea) long non-coding RNA (PSAT_LNC019641)". The record is from RNAcentral. Lineage: Eukaryota; Viridiplantae; Streptophyta; Magnoliopsida; Fabales; Fabaceae.